GUCAACCAGCGUGUUUUCCAUACUCCUGCUUCUAUUCUCUUUUUGCUACUCCUCCCGGUUUUGACCCAUGCCUGUUUUCUGGAUUGACCAUUCUGCCUGCCCUGACCUCGAGCCUGCCUGCCACUCUGUACCUCCUGGACUCCGAAAUAGUUUUGACCUUUUGCCUGCCUACAACCAUUCUCUUGCCUACCCCUUUUGGAUUGAUUGAUGAAUAAAUAUUAAAGACUCAAACCAUCUGCCUCCCGUGUCUGCAUCUGGAUUUCACCUUGUGCCCUUAAAGAGACACCAGACCAGCUUGGCGGCAGAGAGACAAGCUAGCUGCAAUCAGGUCAGUGUGGGACAUGUGGGUGGGCCGCCAUCCCCUGUUUUAUAACCCCGUGCCCAAUGUUAGUGUUGAUAAGAAGCUUAUGUCAUUUAGGGGCCACUGCCCCUUCAGGAAGUACAUACCAUCUAAACCCGCAGAAUAUGGAAUCAAGAUCUGGGCUGCCUGUGAUGCUGCUUCCUCAUAUGCAUGGAACUUGCAAGUGUAUACGGGGAAGCCAGAGGGAGGAGCCCCUGAGAAUAACCAAGGGAUGCCGGUUGUCCUGGACGUGACACAGGGACUCCGUGGCCACAAGCUGGGACAGGAGCUCCUCAAGGGGAAGCUGACGAUGGUAUGAAUAGUACAAAAAAACAAGCCAGAACUCCCACCUCAGCUGUUGAAUACACGGAACAGGCCUAUCAAUUUCUCUAACUUUGUGUUCACGGCUGACACGUUCUUAGUGUCCUACACGCCAAAGAAAGGCAAAAAUGUAGUAGUUAUGAGUACUCCGCAUAGGGAUGGGAGAAUCUGUGGCAAGGAACAUCAAAAAACAUAAUUCAUAAUGGAUUACAAUGCCACAAAUGGAGGGGUGGACAAUUUAGACAAGCUGGUGACUGCCUACAAAAGAAGAACUCUACGCCGGCCACUUGUGAUUAGAGGUCGACCCGAUUAUGAUUUUUCAAUGCCGUUACCGAUACCGAUUAUUGGAAGACCAGAAAAAGCUGAUACCGAUUAAUCUGCCGAUUUUUUACAAUUUUAUUAUUUGUAAUAAUGACAAUUACAACAAUACUGAAUUAACACUUAUUUUAACUUAAUAUAAAACAUCAAAAUCAAUUUAGCCUCAAAUAAAUAAUGAAACAUGUUCAAUUUGGUUUAAAUAAUGUAAAAGCAAAGUGUUGGAGAAGAAAGUAAUAUGUGCCAUGUAAAAAUGUGUGCCAUGUAAAAUAUGUGCCAUGUAAAAAAGCUAACGUUUAUGUUCCUUGCUCAGAACAUGAGAACAUAUAAAAGUUGGUGGUUCCUUUUAACAUGGGACUUCAAUAUUCCAAGGUAAGAGGUUUUAGGUUGUAGUUAAUAUUUUAUUUAUAGGACUAUUUCUCUCUAUACCAUUUGUAUUUCAUAUACCUUUCACUAUUGGAUGUUCUUAUAGGCACUAUAGUAUUGCCAGUGUAACAGUAUAGCUUACAUCCCCUCCUCGCCUCUACCUGGGCUCGAACCAGGAACACAUCGACAACAGCCACACUCAAAGCAUCGUUACCCAUCGCUCCACAAAAGCCGCGUCCCUUGCAGUGCAAGGGGAAUAACUACUCCAAAUCUAAAAGCGAGUGACGUUUGAAACAGUAUUAGCGCACACCCAGCUAACUAGCUAGCCAUUUCACAUUGGUUACACCAGCCAUUAGGCUGAUGGGCUUGAAGUCAUAAACAGCGCUGUGCUUGUGAAGAGCUGCUGGUAAAACGCACGAAAGUGCUGUUUGAUUACGGGCCUGCUGCUGCUCAGUCAGACUGCUCUAUCAAAUCAGACUUAAUUAUAACAUAAUAACACACAGAAAUACGAGCCUUUGGUCAUUAAUAUGAUCGAAUCCGGAAACUAUCAUUUCGAAAACAAGACGUUUAUUAUUUCAGUGAAAUACGGAACCGUUCGGUAUUUUAUCUAACGGGUGGCAUCCCUAAGUCUAAAUAUUCUUGUUACGUUGCACAACCUUCAAUGUAUGUCACAAUUACGUAAAAUUCUGGCAAAUUAGUUCGCAAUGAGCCAGGCAGCCCAAACUGUUGCAUAUACCCUGACUCAGCGUGCAAUGAACGCAAGAGAAAUGACACAAUUUCACCUGGUUAAUAUUGCCUGCUAAACUGGAGUUAUAGUAGUAGUUAUAACUAGUGAUUAUGAUUUAUUGGUUUUUAUAAGAUAAGUUUAAUGCUAGCUAGCAAUUUACCUUGGCUUCGAUUGCAUUCGCGUUACAGGCAGGCUACUCGUGGAGUGCAAUGGUUAGAGCGUUGGACUAGUUAACUGUGCAGUUGGAAGAUUGGAACCCCUGAGCUGACAAGGUGGAAAUCUGUCAUUCUGCCCCUGAACAAGGCAGUUAACCCACAGUUCCUAGGCAGUCAUUGAAAAUAAGAAUGUGUUCUUAACUGACUUGCCUAGAUAAAUAAAAGGUACCUCGGGGUGUGGUGUCAGGAAAAUAACAUCACACUCAACGUCAACAAAACAAUGGAGAUGAUCGUGGACUUCUGGAAACAGUAGAGGGAGCACUCCCCUAUCCAUAUUGACGGGACAGUAGUGGAGAAGGUGGAAAUUUUUAAGUUCCUUGGUGUACACAUCACGGACAAACUGAAAUGGUCCACCCACACAGACAGCGUGGUGAAGAAGGCGCAACAGUGCCUAUUCAACCUCAGGAGGCUGAAGAAAUUUGGCUUGUCACCGGAAACACUCACAACCUUUUACAGAUGACAAAUCGAGAGCAUCCUGUCGGGCUGUAUCGCUGCCUGGUACGGCAACUGCUCCGCCCACAACCGUAAGGCUCUCCAGAGGGUACCUCACCGGGGUCGAACUAUCUGCCCUCCAGGACACCUACAUCACCCGAUGUCACAGGAAGGCCAAAAAGAUCAAGGACAACAACCACCCAAGACACUGCCUGUUCACUCCGCUAUCAUCUAGAAGGCGAGAAUGCUGAAGCCACCAAGCGAAGCAUCGGGGACUGCUGGCGUUCUGGUUGAUGGUGAGGUCAGGUCCGGGGUGCCACCACCGUUGGAACAGGGGGUGCCUGAGCCAGCUCGUCGGGCUGUCACGCCCUAGCUGGCUUGAGAGGUUUCUUUCCCCGGUUGGCUCGGAAAGCGCCCCUCCCACGUCAGGCCUCAGUUCGGAUCGUCAGGUUUUUAUGCCCAGCCGGUUCGUCAGGCUGCUCCGCCUCUGCCAGAUCAUCGGGCUCCCAUGCCUCAGCGGGAUUGACAGGCCUUCAUACCUCAGCCAGAUCGUCAGGCUCUCACGCCUCUGCCGGUUCAUCGGGAUUUCACGCCCAGCCGGCUUGUUCAGCGCCUUUGCCUCGGCCGGCCCGUCAGGCUUGCCCAGGUGGGACGCCAGGUGGCGCCCCUAGAGGGGGGGUACUGUCACGCCUGCUCCCGCUCUCCUCCCUGGCGCUCGAGGGCGCCAGGCUCCCCACCAUUACACACUCCUGCCACCAUCAUUACGUACACCUGCCUUUCCACAUCACGCGCAUCAGCAAUUAUUGGACUCACCUGGACUCAAUCACCCCUGUCAUUACCUCCCCUAUAUCUGUCUGUUCCCCCACUCUGUUCCCUGCUUCAGCAUUGAUUGUCAUAUGUCCUUGUAUACCCGUGUGCUGAUGCUGUUCCUGUCUUGUUCCGAUAAAAUGUUUGACUCCUCGUACCUACUUCUCUACUCCAGCGUUGGUCCUUACAGAAAACACAGAGAAGGAUUAAUGAUCUGAGCCAAACAAAUUUGUAUGUGUGUGUGUGUGUGUGUGUGUGUGCAUGUGUGUAUGCUUGUGUGUGUGUGUGUGCUUGCGUUUGCCUGUAUGGAAAUACAUUGUUUAGUUCCUACAUAUAACAAUGCAGCAUUUUUUAUUGCAAUGUAACUUCAAUGGAAUAUAUUUGAUUUUCAUGUUUUCCGAGAAAUUGGAUUUGUCUGAGAUCCCAUUAUUCACUCCAUUUUUAUGUUUUAAUGCUAAGCUUUUUCCUUGAGGCACAUUGACUAUGUACCGGUACCCCCUGUAUAUAGCCUCGCUUUUGUUACUUUACUGCUGCUCUUUAAUUAUUUGUUACUUUUAUUUCUUGUGUUUUUAGGUAUUUUUCGUAAAGCUGCAUUGUUGGUUGAGGGCUUGUAAGUAAGCAUUUCACUGUAAGGUCUACAUCUAUUGUAUUCGGCGCAUGUGACAAAUCAAAUUUGAUAAGAUUUAUGCUGAAAAAGACUGUUAAGGUUGUUUAUUAUGUUGGUUAAUUUGGGGGUUGUGAAAAGUUCAUGUUUAACCCCAUUGAUUAUCUUUCUUUUUCUUUCCUUGCGUCUGUAUCAUUCAGGCUAAGACCAAAAAGAGAUGGACAGAGUGAAAGCAAAAGAAACAAAAUGGAGGAAAGGAAAGGCGGAGGGCGAGUGCGCCUGGUCUUAUUGAGUCGAGUGCUGAGUGAUUUUCAUGGAACAUCUUUUCUUUCCAAAUAUUUGAAAUAUGAGAGUAUCCGUGAACAAUUAUGUUUGUUGAAAAAAGAAAAGGAAGAGCUAUAUGUUACAUAUUUUUUUCUGUGUUCCUAGGUCAAGCCAUGUGUUAAAUAGUUUCUUAAUUACCAAUGGGGGAUGGCUGUGGAUGACUGUUACAUGGAAUGUGGGGUUGGCUGUCACUAUCAACUACAUUACAAUAAAUCCCAAGCUCUUGUGUGCUUGUGCUAUAAAGA
Molecule: long non-coding RNA, 4696 nt
Organism: Oncorhynchus masou masou (cherry salmon)
Lineage: Eukaryota; Metazoa; Chordata; Actinopteri; Salmoniformes; Salmonidae
Exons: 2
Source: RefSeq, a predicted model, not a curated record